Molecule: ribosomal RNA, 245 nt
Filed under: uncultured bacterium
Lineage: Bacteria
Description: partial 16S ribosomal RNA
Rfam family: Bacterial small subunit ribosomal RNA
Source: RNAcentral
UACGUAGGGUGCGAGCGUUAAUCGGAAUUACUGGGCGUAAAGCGUGCGCAGGCGGCUCUGUAAGACGGAUGUGAAAUCCCCGGGCUCAACCUGGGAACUGCAUUCGUGACUGCAGGGCUCGAGUCUGUCAGAGGGGGGUGGAAUUCCACGUGUAGCAGUGAAAUGCGUAGAGAUGUGGAGGAACACCGAUGGCGAAGGCAGCCCCCUGGGACAAAACUGACGCUCAUGCACGAAAGCGUGGGGAG